This is a non-coding RNA of Podarcis lilfordi (Lilford's wall lizard), 71 nucleotides long. NCBI's taxonomy places the organism in Eukaryota, Metazoa, Chordata, Lepidosauria, Squamata, Lacertidae. The record is from the annotation of a GenBank genome assembly.
GGGCCCUAGCUUAGUAGUAGAGCACCUGCUUUGCAUGCAAAAGGUUCCAGGUUCAAUCUCUGGCAUCUCCA